RNAcentral lists this ribosomal RNA (443 nucleotides) under uncultured bacterium. RNAcentral describes it as "partial 16S ribosomal RNA". It matches the Rfam family "Bacterial small subunit ribosomal RNA", at positions 338 to 795 of the family's 1533-position model. The record is from RNAcentral.
CCUACGGGUGGCAGCAGUGGGGAAUAUUGCUCAAUGGGCGCAAGCCUGAUGCAGCAACGCCGCGUGAAGGAAGAAGGGUUUCGGAUUGUAAACUUCUAUUCUCAGGGACGAAAGAAAUGACGGUACCUGAAUAAGAAGCCACGGCUAACUACGUGCCAGCAGCCGCGGUAAUACGUAGGGGGCAAGCGUUAGCCGGAAUUACUGGGUGUAAAGGGGGAGUAGGCGGCAGGGUAAGGCAGAUGUGAAACCCUUGGGCUUAACCUGAGGAGUGCAUUUGAAACUGUUAUUCUAGAGUACUGGAGAGGUAGGCGGAAUUCCUAGUGUAGCGGUGAAAUGCGUAGAUAUUAGGAAGAACACCAGUGGCGAAGGCGGUCUUCUGGACCGAAACUGACGCUGAGGCGCGAAAGCGUGGGGAGCAAACAGGAUUAGAUACCCUGGUAGUC